AGUCUGACGGAGCAACGCCGCGUGAGUGAUGAAGGUUUUCGGAUCGCAAAGCUCUGUUGUUAGGGAAGAACAAGUGCAAGAGUAACUGCUUGCACCUUGACGGUACCUAACCAGAAAGCCACGGCUAACUACGUGCCAGCAGCCGCGGUAAUACGUAGGUGGCAAGCGUUGUCCGGAAUUAUUGGGCGUAAAGGGCUCGCAGGCGGUUUCUUAAGUCUGAUGUGAAAGCCCCCGGCUCAACCGGGGAGGGUCAUUGGAAACUGGGAAACUUGAGUGCAGAAGAGGAGAGUGGAAUUCCACGUGUAGCGGUGAAAUGCGUAGAGAUGUGGAGGAACACCAGUGGCGAAGGCGACUCUCUGGUCUGUAACUGACGCUGAGGAGCGAAAGCGUGGGGAGCGAACAGGAUUAGAUACCCUGGUAGUCCACGCCGUAAACGAUGAGUGCUAAGUGUUAGGGGGUUUCCGCCCCUUAGUGCUGCAGCUAACGCAUUAAGCACUCCGCCUGGGGAGUACGGUCGCAAGACUGAAACUCAAAGGAAUUGACGGGGGCC
RNAcentral lists this ribosomal RNA (550 nucleotides) under Bacillus sp. MN42. RNAcentral describes it as "bacterial SSU rRNA". It matches the Rfam family "Bacterial small subunit ribosomal RNA", at positions 380 to 921 of the family's 1533-position model. The record is from RNAcentral. Lineage: Bacteria; Bacillati; Bacillota; Bacilli; Caryophanales; Bacillaceae.